Molecule: ribosomal RNA, 307 nt
Filed under: uncultured bacterium
Lineage: Bacteria
Description: bacterial SSU rRNA
Rfam family: Bacterial small subunit ribosomal RNA
Source: RNAcentral
GAUGAACGCUGGCGGUAUGCUUAACACAUGCAAGUCGAACGGGAUAUCUUCGGAUAUUUAGUGGCGGACGGGUGAGUAACGCGUGAGAACAUGCCCUUAGGUUCGGGACAACAGUUGGAAACGACUGCUAAUACCGAAUGUGCCGAGAGGUGAAAGAUUAAUUGCCUAGGGAUUGGCUCGCGUCAGAUUAGCUAGUUGGUAGAGUAACGGUUUACCAAGGCGACGAUCUGAACUGGUCUGAGAGGAUGACCAGUCACACUGGGACUGAGACACGGCCCAGACUCCUACGGGAGGCAGCAGUGGGGAA